Molecule: long non-coding RNA, 1099 nt
Organism: Herpailurus yagouaroundi (jaguarundi)
Lineage: Eukaryota; Metazoa; Chordata; Mammalia; Carnivora; Felidae
Exons: 2
Source: RefSeq, a predicted model, not a curated record
CCGUGUUUAUAUCAUAUGGUUGCCAUGAGGAUUAAGUGACACAUUUCACUUAGUGUGUGAGAUACAUAUACAGGAGAUUAUUUAUAUAACCAGUCUCUAACAGUUCUAACAGAAACUGGUGCAUGGAAAUCCUUAAAAUGCCAUUUACCCAUUCAUUUUAAGGGACCUUUCCUCUUUGGUACUUAGACUCUUGAACGUUAAUAACAAGAAAGGAGAGACAAGCUAAAGAAAUGCAAUGCAAUUUUCCACAUCUUUUUUUUUUUUUCUUUUUUUGCUCUCUUUUAUUCUGGGAAAGAAGCAAUUGAAUGGGAACCAUGGAGAAUUAGUAUUGUUGAAGGAGUAAAAUAAAUCAAAAUGAACCUAUAAAAAUCAGGCUAAUCAGCACGGCUGACGUAAUAAACGGACAAGCUUUUCAGCUUGGUCGGAUGGGUUGACCUGAAAGUUGAAUUCACAUGGACAGAAAAUUGGGAGGAAGAUAAGAGGUCGCACUUGCAACACAUUCUAAGGGUGGAUUUGCCCAAUGACCAAUUUCCCCUGACUUGAGAACAACACGAGAAAAGAGGAACAGCUGAGAUGCCGGGUGCCGGGUGUUGGUGGCUUCCUCGAUUAUACAGGAAGGGUACUCGAUGCCUGGGCGCCGUGCUUCCUGGAGUAGAUGCUACCACAGGCAGAGCAGACGGGACCCCAAAACUCAGCAGGGCCAUCUAGACACAUGUUGUGCACCCUGGGGUUGUCCCCAAAUAGCCCAGCCAACCUCCUCCGCUUAAUACUAAAACACGUUUGGGAGAAUUGAGAAAUUGACCUUAGUUUUAAAAAGGGCCUGUUUAGGGGCACCUGGGUGGCUCAGUCGGUUAAGCGACCAACUCUUUGGUUGUUGGUAAUUAAGUUUUCUCGUCCCCUUUAUCAGUGGUUGGCAUUGGAAGGAACAUGUGAUCUCAUGGACCAUCCUGUUAGUGCCAGGGGAAUCCGCUGACACUAGGGAGGGGUGGGUGACAAAGGGGAAGCAGAGCCCUGGAUGGCAUCCUUGGGAGAAAUCUGAAGUGGGCCUGCCUUAGGAUACCCGCCUCUGACACCCAAUAAAUGUCUCUAUUAAUUCAAA